This 254-nucleotide long non-coding RNA is filed under the name Mus musculus (house mouse). RNAcentral describes it as "long non-coding RNA chr18:79959606-79959860". The record is from RNAcentral. Lineage: Eukaryota; Metazoa; Chordata; Mammalia; Rodentia; Muridae.
CGUGCGACUCUGUGGUCCUGAGUGCCAGAAGCUGUCUCCAUGGGUUGGUCACAGUGUGCAUCGCACCGUGCUGUACAUGUGCAGAUGUAGCCUGCAGCCAGCCAGUUUUUAUUUAAUGUAAAUAGUUUCUGUUUCCACUGAGGCAGUUUCUGGUACUCCUAUGCAAUAUUACUUAGCUUUUUUAUUGUAAAAAGAGAAUCAACUCAACUGUCAGUACUGAGAAGGGAUUUGGGUGUAGGGGCACCUGGCCUCCG